UACGUAAAUGUUGAACGUUUUAGAGACAUUAUUUUGUUUUGAAUCACACCGUAAUAAGCGACAGCAUAAACAACAUAAGCAACAGCGUUUAACGUCACGUAAGUAAUGGAUAAAGUAUCAAAAGAAUACGGAACGUUUCUCGGUGACCGAAAUCCCACGUCGGACGACAAGAGUCAACAACACUCUCGUACCUCGGUUGUACAUGGUAUGAUAGCUAUGGACGACGUAUCCGACAAGAACAAGAUAUGGAGAAUGUUGGCCGCGGAGUUUCUGGGCACGGCCAUGCUAUUGUUCGUCGGCUGCGGCAGCACUAUGUGGUUUAAGGGUUUGGACUCGUCAGACGUCUUAAAAAUCGCUUUGGCUUUCGGCUUCAUAAUAGCCACACUGGUGCAGAUUUUUGGUCAGACCAGUGGAUGCCACAUCAACCCAGCGGUCACGGUGAGCUUUUUGAUCACGGGCCAAUGCUCGUUUUUGAAAUCAGUUUUGUACAUGAUUGCCCAGUGUUUAGGUGCUGUAGCUGGUAUUUAUUUACUGAUGUUCAUCACUCCAACCGAUUCGACAAUCACCUUCGGUAGGACACAAGUUAACACUUUGCUUAACCCUGGCCAGGGAUUUAUUAUCGAAGCGUUCAUUACAUUUAUUUUGGUUUUGGUCAUUCAUUCGGUAUGCGACGAAGCUAACCGAAGCAACGUAGUCACACCAGCCGUUUCUAUCGGUGUGGCCAUUGCUGCUCUCCAUUUGGGCUUUAUCAAUUACACGGGAGCUAGCAUGAACCCAGCCAGAUCUUUGGGUUCCGUCGUAGCCACUAACGUGUGGAAAGACCACUGGGUGUACUGGGCCGGCCCUAUGACCGGUGGCCUUCUCGGAGGGAUCAUCCACAGCUUUGUGUUGAAACGUCAUACUGAAGAGGCAAGCUCCUAUGAUCUUUGAACAACUAUAUAGAUAAUAUAAUCUUAAACAUUAUUUUUUUAUAAGCUCUUUGCUAUUUUUAAUCGAUAUGCUAUUUAUUAUUACGUGUUAUGAACAUAAUUAACAAAAAAAAAAAAAAAUCCGGGGUUUGUUAAAACAAAACAAAACAUAUCAUCCACCACGUUAAAACUCUAUAUUCAUCAUUGUUGUAUUCGAUUGUAGACAUCAGACCAUACAGUUAAAUUGCGUGAAUUCUAGUUUUUAAAUCGACGAUGAAAUGAACAUUUAUUAAUUUAUUGCCUAUUUGUAAAAAAUUUAAAUUAAACUAUUAUACUAACUUAGGUUAGUAUAUAUCAACCAGGCAUGUUUUAUGUAUAUAAUUUUAUGUUUUUUAAUUUGACGGGGAUUACUUGACUAAGGAUUUCAGUUUAAAUACUAUUAAAUGUGAAACAGAAAUAAAUACUAUAUGUUUUAUUUUAA
This is an RNA transcript of Sipha flava (yellow sugarcane aphid), 1389 nucleotides long. It is a transcript of the gene named aquaporin AQPcic-like, with no coding region annotated. The transcript is spliced from 7 exons. The record is from RefSeq and is a predicted model, not a curated record. NCBI's taxonomy places the organism in Eukaryota, Metazoa, Arthropoda, Insecta, Hemiptera, Aphididae.